Molecule: long non-coding RNA, 196 nt
Organism: Ixodes scapularis (black-legged tick)
Lineage: Eukaryota; Metazoa; Arthropoda; Arachnida; Ixodida; Ixodidae
Exons: 3
Source: RefSeq, a predicted model, not a curated record
GGAUUAUAUAAAGGAGUAGGUUUCCGUAGAAGUCACAUCAACAAGCCAGCGAAACCUCCGUUACACGCACUACUCUCUCUUCGCCUAGCCCAGACUCACCGACCACCGAAUACCCCAGGCCACUUCGGACCCGACUCGGCUCACCGACCACCAUCCCAGACUCACCGAAAACCGCCCCAGGCGCACCGACCACCAC